AGCAGGGGAUCGCAAGACCUUGCGCUCUUGGAGCGGCCGAUGCCUGAUUAGCUAGUUGGUGAGGUAAAGGCUUACCAAGGCGACGAUCAGUAGCUGGUCUGAGAGGACGACCAGCCACACUGGGACUGAGACACGGCCCAGACUCCUACGGGAGGCAGCAGUGGGGAAUUUUGGACAAUGGGGGAAACCCUGAUCCAGCCAUGCCGCGUGAGUGAAGAAGGCCUUCGGGUUGUAAAGCUCUUUCAGCCGGAACGAAACGGUCACGGCUAAUACCUGUGACUACUGACGGUACCGGAAGAAGAAGCACCGGCCAACUACGUGCCAGCAGCCGCGGUAAUACGUAGGGUGCAAGCGUUAAUCGGAAUUACUGGGCGUAAAGCGCGCGCAGGCGGUUUUGUAAGUCAGAUGUGGAAUCCCCGGGCUUAACCUGGGAACUGCGUUUGAAACCUACAAAGCUAG
RNAcentral lists this ribosomal RNA (459 nucleotides) under uncultured beta proteobacterium. RNAcentral describes it as "bacterial SSU rRNA". It matches the Rfam family "Bacterial small subunit ribosomal RNA", at positions 195 to 644 of the family's 1533-position model. The record is from RNAcentral. Lineage: Bacteria; Pseudomonadati; Pseudomonadota; Betaproteobacteria.